Molecule: ribosomal RNA, 199 nt
Filed under: uncultured bacterium
Lineage: Bacteria
Description: partial 16S ribosomal RNA
Rfam family: Bacterial small subunit ribosomal RNA
Source: RNAcentral
ACGCUCGACACCUACGGGAGACAGCAGUGGGGAAUAUUGCACAAUGGGGGAAACCCUGAUGCAGCGAUGCCGCGUGAAGGAAGAAGUAUCUCGGUAUGUAAACUUCUAUCAGCAGGGAAGAAAAUGACGGUACCUGACUAAGAAGCCCCGGCUAACUACGUGCCAGCAGCAGGCGGUAAUCUGAGCGGGCUGGCAAGGC